ACGCGAAGAACCUUACCCAGACUUGACAUACAUGUGACAGUUCUAGAAAUAGAAUCUUCCUUCGGGACACAUGAACAGGUGCUGCAUGGCUGUCGUCAGCUCGUGCCGUGAGGUGUUGGGUUAAGUCCCGCAACGAGCGCAACCCUUAUCAUUAGUUGCCAACAUUUAAGGUGGGAACUCUAAUGAGACUGCCUGGGUUAACCAGGAGGAAGGUGAGGAUGACGUCAAGUCCGCAUGGCCCUUAUGUCUGGGGCUACACACGUGCUACAAUGGUCGGUACAAAAGGAAGCUAAGCCGCGAGGUGGAGCAAAUCCAUAAAAGCCGGCCUCAGUUCAGAUUGUAGUCUGCAACUCGACUACAUGAAGAUGGAAUUGCUAGUAAUGGCAGGUCAGCAACACUGCCGUGAAUACGUUCUCGGGUCUUGUACACACCG
This 433-nucleotide ribosomal RNA is filed under the name uncultured bacterium. RNAcentral describes it as "bacterial SSU rRNA". It matches the Rfam family "Bacterial small subunit ribosomal RNA", at positions 959 to 1392 of the family's 1533-position model. The record is from RNAcentral.